RNAcentral lists this ribosomal RNA (253 nucleotides) under uncultured bacterium. RNAcentral describes it as "partial 16S ribosomal RNA". It matches the Rfam family "Bacterial small subunit ribosomal RNA", at positions 524 to 776 of the family's 1533-position model. The record is from RNAcentral.
UACGGAGGGUGCGAGCGUUGUCCGGAAUCACUGGGCGUAAAGGGCGCGUAGGCGGCGCGGGAAGUCAACGGUGAAAGUUCAGGGCUCAACUCUGAAUCGGCCGGUGAUACUCUCGUGCUCGAGCACUGUAGAGGCAGGUGGAAUUCCGGGUGUAGCGGUGGAAUGCGUAGAGAUCCGGAAGAACACCGGUGGCGAAGGCGGCCUGCUGGGCAGUAGCUGACGCUGAUGCGCGACAGCGUGGGGAGCAAACAGG